This 481-nucleotide ribosomal RNA is filed under the name uncultured bacterium. RNAcentral describes it as "bacterial SSU rRNA". It matches the Rfam family "Bacterial small subunit ribosomal RNA", at positions 28 to 503 of the family's 1533-position model. The record is from RNAcentral.
GAUGAACGCUAGCGACAGGCUUAACACAUGCAAGUCGAGGGGUAACAGGGUAGCAAUACCGCUGACGACCGGCGCACGGGUGAGUAACGCGUAUGCAACCUGCCUAUAACUGGGGAAUAGCUCCCUGAAAGGGGAAUUAACACCGCAUAACACUAUUGAUUCGCAUGGAUUGGUAGUUAAAUGUAGCGAUACAGGUUAUAGAUGGGCAUGCGUGACAUUAGCUAGUUGGUGAGGUAACGGCUCACCAAGGCUACGAUGUCUAGGGGUUCUGAGAGGAAGGUCCCCCAACUGGUACUGGGACACGGACCAGACUCCUACGGGAGGCAGCAGUGAGGAAUAUUGGUCAAUGGGCGCAAGCCUGAACCAGCCAUGUCGCGUGCAGGAAGACUGCCCUAUGGGUUGUAAACUGCUUUUAUAGUAGAAGAAACACAUCUACGCGUAGAUGUCUGCCAGUAUACUAUGAAUAAGCAUCGGCUAACCG